UCCCCAUUCAAAGAGAUAGGAGCUGCACUUGAAUACCCGAGAGGCAUUUCAAAGAUGGCCGCCGAGUGAAUGACUUUAGCUAAACUCUGCAGGACUGUGGCUCUCCAGGACCGAUGUUAUCCACCCCUGGUCUAUGGUGUGAUUUGUCGUGGACUGGUUGUGAUGGGUCGCUCCGUACCAGAAAGUCCAGGGCCACUUUUUAGCCCUAAUCCGCCCCUGGUUAAAUAGGUAGUCCUAUAUCAUCUUACACUACAAAGUGUCAUAUAGUAUUGCCAAAGUAUGUGAAAUGUGAAGAAACCUGGUUCAGACCAGUAUAAAACAAGACAGUGUAAAGAACAGUAUGGCAUCUAUCCACACACAUAUCCCAUCUGCCCACAGCUUAACCUCUGCUACAGCAAGAUGAGGUGAAAUGUCUGACAGCGAUCCACUGGGUGAGAUGAAUUUUUGUUUUGUCCUGAGAAAUGAAAAAAGGAUUCUACAUAAUUCAGCUCUUUGUUUCAUCAGUGACCUGGAGAAGGUCAUAAAGUUUUUUUUCUCCAUUUACUAGCAGACUUCAAAGCGCUUGUGUGUGUGUUUGACAGAGAAUAUAUAAAACUGUGGGUUGCACUGGAUGAAAGCGAUCAUCAUUCAUGUGAGAGCAACACAAAGAGACAGAUAGAAGGAGUCCGAGCGGGAAACGAGGAAGUAUGUUUCUGUAUCAGAGACAUUGAGAGAGUGUAUUUAUGUGAUAGAUGCUGGUCCAAGCUGGUUUGGUGUUGGUGCAGUCAUGUUAUUCACCAGCAAAAAAUGUAUUUAUGAUUUAUAUGGGGCUGAGGCGCAGGGACCUGGAAACCCUAGCGAUGGCCCUGCUUCCUGAUGAAACUGUUUGACCAUAUGAGGCUCGCUUAAGAUAGUUUGGGACACUAGCAUCUCAUGUUGGGGACGUCAUUAAAAACAAAAGAGGAAGAGUUCUCUCUGCCAAAAAACAUGUAGCCCUGCCUGAGCGUGGCCCAUCCUGUUCAACCCUGUACCACAUUUUACAUCUGGGUCACAUCAAAGUAACCAGACAUGGACCUGGAAGACAGCCGGCUGGCACUCUGUCCAUAUCCAGUCACAUUCCUGUAACACGGAAGCACUACUGCAUUCACUGCGUCAACUGCGUAGAAGACUGACAGGGAAGAGGAAAGAUUGUUGAAUAAAGUAGUUAUUUUUGUUUUGUUUUUGUGCACAAAAAAGUAUUCUCAUCGCUUCAUAAAAUUAAG
Molecule: long non-coding RNA, 1241 nt
Organism: Megalobrama amblycephala (Wuchang bream)
Lineage: Eukaryota; Metazoa; Chordata; Actinopteri; Cypriniformes; Xenocyprididae
Exons: 3
Source: RefSeq, a predicted model, not a curated record